CCUACGGGAGGCAGCAGUGAGGAAUAUUGGUCAAUGGACGAGAGUCUGAACCAGCCAAGUAGCGUGAAGGAUGACUGCCCUAUGGGUUGUAAACUUCUUUUAUAUGGGAAUAAAAUGUUCCACGUGUGGGAUUUUGUAUGUACCAUAUGAAUAAGGAUCGGCUAACUCCGUGCCAGCAGCCGCGGUAAUACGGAGGAUCCGAGCGUUAUCCGGAUUUAUUGGGUUUAAAGGGAGCGUAGGUGGAUUGUUAAGUCAGUUGUGAAAGUUUGCGGCUCAACCGUAAAAUUGCAGUUGAAACUGGCAGUCUUGAGUACAGGAGAGGUGGGCGGAAUUCGUGGUGUAGUGGUGAAAUGCUUAGAUAUCACGAAGAACUCCGAUUGCGAAGGCAGUUCACUGGACUGCAACUGACACUGAGGCUCGAAAGUGUGGGUAUCAAACAGGAUUAGAUACCCCUGUAGUC
Molecule: ribosomal RNA, 460 nt
Filed under: uncultured bacterium
Lineage: Bacteria
Description: partial 16S ribosomal RNA
Rfam family: Bacterial small subunit ribosomal RNA
Source: RNAcentral